This is a non-coding RNA of Coffea arabica (coffee), 351 nucleotides long. NCBI's taxonomy places the organism in Eukaryota, Viridiplantae, Streptophyta, Magnoliopsida, Gentianales, Rubiaceae. The record is from RefSeq and is a predicted model, not a curated record.
GAAGUGUAUUUUUCCUUAACUGGACUCCAUGCACUAGAAUCAUGGAUCCACCACCCUCAGACCCUCCACCGAGUCAAGCACCACUUCUAUCACCUCAAACUCCUCAAUCCGGUGGAUGUCUUGAAUCAUUCCUCUGGUUUCUAUCCUGCUGUGGUUUGUUGUCAUGUUGCUGCCCUCCACUCUUUGAGCCAUGGCCUCCACCUCCCUAGAGAUUGCAAUGCUUGCUUUUGAUGUCUAAGGAAUUUAACUACAUUUAAUUUCUUAUCCUGAAAUCAAUGUCACCACAUUAGUUUUAUGUAUUGUUGUGCCACACCUUUGUAUGUUUGUUACUUUAUCUUUCCUUUAACACUA